CUGAUUAAUGAUCCAGUUUUGGGUUCUUGGUGUAGCAGAAACGAUGCAUCAACUCACCCCGGAGAUUAAUGGGGUUGAUAAGAAGACACUUUGUGAAGCAAAAGUGUGGGUGAAUUCAAGGUUGAACUUCAAGGAGUUGCAGGAGUUCAAGUCUGUCGGUGAUGAUGCCUCUAUCACUACUUCUCCUAUCUUGGCUACAAAUAAUGUAUGACUACAAACAAUAUAUAUGUGUAUAUGUAUGCAAGACGUUGAUCAAUUGAAAACUUUGAUCAAGAAAAUUUGCUUUUGUAAGGACAUAUGAGCAUGAAUGAGACGGAGGGAAAUUCUAUGAGAUGAUCCAGUACACUACUUUGCUGAUCAUGCUGUCAAGUGCAUCCAAAAGAGAUCUAAAUCUCUGUUACUUUAUGAACUUCAAUAGGUUGUGCAUGCUAACGCUGAGUCUUUUGCCACUUCAGGUUUGAGAAAACUUCCUGAAUUCAUAUUUUGUUUCAACAGACCGUAAAAUUUGAGGUUUACCGAGCUUCCGUAGAUGACAUCAGGACUAUAUGCUUUGGAGAUGUGUGCGGAUUUUUUGAGCUGUGAAACAUGACUAUAUAGUGGAGUUUAUUAUA
This is a long non-coding RNA of Brassica oleracea var. oleracea, 611 nucleotides long. RefSeq lists it as uncharacterized. The record is from RefSeq and is a predicted model, not a curated record. NCBI's taxonomy places the organism in Eukaryota, Viridiplantae, Streptophyta, Magnoliopsida, Brassicales, Brassicaceae. The transcript has 2 exons.